This 227-nucleotide long non-coding RNA is filed under the name Elaeis guineensis (African oil palm). Its description in RNAcentral is "long non-coding RNA (EGUI_LNC035079)". Lineage: Eukaryota; Viridiplantae; Streptophyta; Magnoliopsida; Arecales; Arecaceae. The record is from RNAcentral.
UUCUCUUUUCCAUGCCCAAGGGUUGGGUGUCUAUCUUCCACACACCAAGAAGAAGAAGGGUCUCUUUUACAGCAAGGAACAAAGAGAAGAAGGCUGCAGUUCAAAGGUUGAAGUUACAAUCAAGAUCAUUUGCUGAUCAAAGUUUAAAGAAGCAAUGAUUUUAUUUGAAGAAGAAAGAUCUACCAUGAAAAGAAGGAUUCAAAAUUGAUCCCGAUGGAUACCUGUAG